UACGUAGGGUGCAAGCGUUGUCCGGAAUUAUUGGGCGUAAAGAGCUCGUAGGCGGUCUGUCGCGUCGGCUGUGAAAACUCGGGGCUCAACCCCGAGCCUGCAGUCGAUACGGGCAGACUAGAGUGCUGUAGGGGAGACUGGAAUUCCUGGUGUAGCGGUGAAAUGCGCAGAUAUCAGGAGGAACACCGAUGGCGAAGGCAGGUCUCUGGGCAUUAACUGACGCUGAGGAGCGAAAGCAUGGGGAGCGAACAGG
This 253-nucleotide ribosomal RNA is filed under the name uncultured bacterium. RNAcentral describes it as "partial 16S ribosomal RNA". It matches the Rfam family "Bacterial small subunit ribosomal RNA", at positions 524 to 776 of the family's 1533-position model. The record is from RNAcentral.